RNAcentral lists this ribosomal RNA (509 nucleotides) under Humerana lateralis (Kokarit frog). RNAcentral describes it as "partial 12S ribosomal RNA". It matches the Rfam family "Bacterial small subunit ribosomal RNA", at positions 794 to 1533 of the family's 1533-position model. The record is from RNAcentral. Lineage: Eukaryota; Metazoa; Chordata; Amphibia; Anura; Ranidae.
GCCCAGCCGUAAAAAAUUAACUCACAACAAUCAGCGCCAGGAAAUUACGAGCAAUGCUUAAAACCCAAAGGACUUGACGGUGUCCCACCCAACUAGAGGAGCCUGUUCUAUAAUCGAUAAUCCCCGCUAUCCCGACCAUUUCUAGCUCUUCAGUCUGUAUACCUCCGUCGAAAGUCUACCAUGUGAACGUUUUCCAGUAGGCCCAAGGAUCCCCGUCAACACGUCAGGUCAAGGUCAGCUUACGAAAUGGGAAGUGAUGGGCUACAAUUUCUAACCUAGAACAAACGAAAUACUGUGUGAAAUCACAGUCACGAAGGCGGAUUUAGCAGUAAAAAGAAAAUAGAGUGUUCUUUUUAACCCGGCUCUGGGAUGUGUACAAACCGCCCGUCACCCUCUUCGACCACAUUAACCUAGUUCAUAACCCAACAUCAGCUGACCUAGAAGAGGCAAGUCGUAACAUGGUAAGUGUACUGGAAAGUGCACUUGGUAAACUACAAAGUGUAGCUUAA